AGUGAACGCUGGCGGUAGGCCUAACACAUGCAAGUCGAACGGCAGCACAGUAAGAGCUUGCUCUUACGGGUGGCGAGUGGCGGACGGGUGAGGAAUACAUCGGAAUCUACUUUUUCGUGGGGGAUAACGUAGGGAAACUUACGCUAAUACCGCAUACGACCUACGGGUGAAAGCAGGGGAUCUUCGGACCUUGCGCGAUUGAAUGAGCCGAUGUCGGAUUAGCUAGUUGGCGGGGUAAGGCCCACCAAGGCGACGAUCCGUAGCUGGUCUGAGAGGAUGAUCAGCCACACUGGAACUGAGACACGGUCCAGACUCCUACGGGAGGCAGCAGUGGGGAAUAUUGGACAAUGGGCGCAAGCCUGAUCCAGCCAUACUGCGUGGGUGAAGAAGGCCUUCGGGUUGUAAAGCCCUUUUGUUGGGAAAGAAAAGCAGCAGGUUAAUACCCCGCUGUUCUGACGGUACCCAAAGAAUAAGCACCGGCUAACUUCGUG
This 491-nucleotide ribosomal RNA is filed under the name uncultured bacterium. RNAcentral's name for it is "partial 16S ribosomal RNA". It matches the Rfam family "Bacterial small subunit ribosomal RNA", at positions 29 to 507 of the family's 1533-position model. The record is from RNAcentral.